GGCCGAGUGGCGGAAGCGGUAGACGCGGCGGUCUCAAAAGCCGCUGCCCCCAAGGCAUGAGGGUUCGAGUCCCUCCUUGGCCA
This 83-nucleotide transfer RNA is filed under the name Planctomycetota bacterium. RNAcentral's name for it is "Planctomycetes bacterium (rhizosphere metagenome) tRNA-Leu". It matches the Rfam family "tRNA". Rfam says of the family: Transfer RNA (tRNA) molecules are approximately 80 nucleotides in length. Lineage: Bacteria; Pseudomonadati; Planctomycetota. The record is from RNAcentral.